Molecule: ribosomal RNA, 501 nt
Filed under: Pleosporales sp. 1SW-4
Lineage: Eukaryota; Fungi; Ascomycota; Dothideomycetes; Pleosporales
Description: eukaryotic LSU rRNA
Rfam family: 5.8S ribosomal RNA (bases 151-304)
Source: RNAcentral
AAGGAUCAUUACCUAGAGUUGUAGGCUUUGCCUGCUAUCUCUUACCCAUGUCUUUUAAGUACCUUCGUUUCCUCGGCGGGUUCGCCCGCCGAUUGGACAAUUUAAACCAUUUGCAGUUGCAAUCAGCGUCUGAAAAAACUUAAUAGUUACAACUUUCAACAACGGAUCUCUUGGUUCUGGCAUCGAUGAAGAACGCAGCGAAAUGCGAUAAGUAGUGUGAAUUGCAGAAUUCAGUGAAUCAUCGAAUCUUUGAACGCACAUUGCGCCCCUUGGUAUUCCAUGGGGCAUGCCUGUUCGAGCGUCAUUUGUACCUUCAAGCUCUGCUUGGUGUUGGGUGUUUGUCUCGCCUCUGCGUGUAGACUCGCCUCAAAACAAUUGGCAGCCGGCGUAUUGAUUUCGGAGCGCAGUACAUCUCGCGCUUUGCACUCAUAACGACGACGUCCAAAAGUACAUUUUUACACUCUUGACCUCGGAUCAGGUAGGGAUACCCGCUGAACUUAA